Molecule: transfer RNA, 71 nt
Filed under: Lachnospiraceae bacterium
Lineage: Bacteria; Bacillati; Bacillota; Clostridia; Lachnospirales; Lachnospiraceae
Description: tRNA-Trp
Rfam family: tRNA
About the family: Transfer RNA (tRNA) molecules are approximately 80 nucleotides in length. Their secondary structure includes four short double-helical elements and three loops (D, anti-codon, and T loops).
Source: RNAcentral
AGGGGUAUAGUUCAAUGGUAGAGCGGCGGUCUCCAAAACCGUUGAUGGGGGUUCGAAUCCCUCUGCCCCUG